Molecule: non-coding RNA, 113 nt
Organism: Acanthosepion pharaonis
Lineage: Eukaryota; Metazoa; Mollusca; Cephalopoda; Sepiida; Sepiidae
Source: the annotation of a GenBank genome assembly
UUACGGACAUAUCAUGUUGAAACACAUGUUCUCAUACGAGCACCGAAGUUAAGCAACGUCGAGCUUGGACACUACUUAGAUGGGUGAGUUUUGGGAAUAUCAGGUGAUGUAAG